CUCCUCUCAGGGUCGCACCUGGAGAGUUUCCAGUACUCUACCAGUCUUGGCUUCAGGAGGGAGAGUCAAGUCUGGGCCUAUCCAUUCCAUUCCUAGCUUGGCCAGUGGAUAGCGAGUGGAAGGCAAUCUGCUACAAGU
Ornithorhynchus anatinus (platypus) is the source of this 138-nucleotide small nucleolar RNA. The record is from RefSeq and is a predicted model, not a curated record. NCBI's taxonomy places the organism in Eukaryota, Metazoa, Chordata, Mammalia, Monotremata, Ornithorhynchidae.